GGGACAGGGACAGAAAUGUCUCAGACCUAGAGCUGUCUGCUGACCCCUGAAGAAGUCCCCUAAAUGGCAGCCCAUCCACCAAGGAGACAGGCUGAUUUCCAGGCAGGAGCUCCUUUUCCAGGGCACCCAGUCUCUCCAGAGAGACAGUGAUGGGGACAGAGGGAGGCUGACUCCAGUCAUGUCAGAAACAAGAAGGACCUAGAGACUGCGCUGGAGCCAACACGGAUCUCACACGAUCCCAAGCUCCUGGUGACGACAGUGUUAGGAAAAUAAGUGUAUUAAAUUGUUGGGAUCUAAUUCUCAUGAAAAACUGAAAGA
This 318-nucleotide long non-coding RNA is filed under the name Equus asinus (donkey). Its description in RNAcentral is "lncRNA (ENSEASG00005025809.1)". The record is from RNAcentral. Lineage: Eukaryota; Metazoa; Chordata; Mammalia; Perissodactyla; Equidae.